This 375-nucleotide ribosomal RNA is filed under the name uncultured bacterium. Its description in RNAcentral is "bacterial SSU rRNA". It matches the Rfam family "Bacterial small subunit ribosomal RNA", at positions 546 to 919 of the family's 1533-position model. The record is from RNAcentral.
CGGAAUUAUUGGGCGUAAGCGCGCGCAGGCGGUCCCUUAGUCUGAUGUGAAAGCCCACGGCUCAACCGUGGAGGGUCAUUGGAAACUGGGGGACUUGAGUGCAGAAGAGGAAAGUGGAAUUCCACGUGUAGCGGUGAAAUGCGUAGAGAUGUGGAGGAACACCAGUGGCGAAGGCGACUUUCUGGUCUGUAACUGACGCUGAGGCGCGAAAGCGUGGGGAGCAAACAGGAUUAGAUACCCUGGUAGUCCACGCCGUAAACGAUGAGUGCUAAGUGUUAGGGGGUUUCCGCCCCUUAGUGCUGCAGCUAACGCAUUAAGCACUCCGCCUGGGGAGUACGGCCGCAAGGCUGAAACUCAAGGGGAAAUUGACGGGAC